GGGCUCAGAUCCGUGGGGUCCCUGUGUGGGGCUCGGAUCCGUGGGGCUCAGAUCCAUGGGGUCCCCGUGGGGCUCAGAUCCGUGGGGCUCAGAUCCAUGGGGUCCCUGAUCCGUGGGGCUGGGAUCCGUGGGGCUGAGAUCCGUGUGUUGCGGUUGCAGUCCCGCAGGGGGUGCUCCCCCCGUUCCCCCCGGGGCUGUUCCCGCUGUGGCCGCCCAUGGCUCCGUUCCCCCCGGUCCCCGGCGCUCAGGGACCCCCCAGCCCCGAGGGCUCCGCUGCCGCCGCCCCCCCGUCAGCUUCCGCCAGAACCGGGGACGGCUCCGCUUCGGGCUCGGACGGCAGCACCGCGCCGGGAUUCCCCCUGCCCCCCCCGUGGCUGGGGAUGCCCUGGCCGCCCCUCUUCGGUGAGGGGGGGGGGGGGGAUUGGGGGCGAUCCAGGGGGGGUUGUGUCCCCGUUAUUCACCCCCAAAUCCUGCAGGGUUUUGGGGCUCAUCCGUGGGAUUUCUCCCCAUUAUUCACCCCCAAAUCCUGCAGGGUUUUGGGGUUCAUCCAUGGGAUUUCUACCCAAUAUUGCCCCUAAAUCCUGCAGGGUUUUAGGGUUCAUCCAUGGGAUUUCUCCCCAUUAUUCACCCCCAAAUCCUGCAGGGUUCUGGGGUUUGGUUUUGGGGUUCAUCUGUGGGAUUUCUCCCCAUUAUUCCCCCCCCAAAUCCUGCAGGGUUUUGGGGUUCAUCCAUGGGAUUUCUCCCCCAAACCCCCCAGGAUUCUGCGAUUUCCCCCCAAAACCCCCCA
This 787-nucleotide long non-coding RNA is filed under the name Numida meleagris (helmeted guineafowl). RNAcentral describes it as "lncRNA (ENSNMEG00000000700.1)". Lineage: Eukaryota; Metazoa; Chordata; Aves; Galliformes; Numididae. The record is from RNAcentral.